UGCGGGGUGGAGCAGAGGUAGCUCGUCAGGCUCAUAACCUGAAGGCCGUUGGUUCGAUUCCAACCCCCGCUACCA
RNAcentral lists this transfer RNA (75 nucleotides) under Lentisphaerae bacterium GWF2_44_16. RNAcentral describes it as "tRNA-Met". It matches the Rfam family "tRNA". From Rfam's summary of the family: Transfer RNA (tRNA) molecules are approximately 80 nucleotides in length. Their secondary structure includes four short double-helical elements and three loops (D, anti-codon, and T loops). Further hydrogen bonds mediate the characteristic L-shaped molecular structure. tRNAs have two regions of fundamental functional importance: the anti-codon, which is responsible for specific mRNA codon recognition, and the 3' end, to which the tRNAs corresponding amino acid is attached (by aminoacyl-tRNA synthetases). tRNAs cope with the degeneracy of the genetic code in two manners: having more than one tRNA (with a specific anti-codon) for a particular amino acid; and 'wobble' base-pairing, i.e. permitting non-standard base-pairing at the 3rd anti-codon position. The record is from RNAcentral. RNAcentral also lists the same sequence under 2 other names. Lineage: Bacteria; Pseudomonadati; Lentisphaerota.